Molecule: unclassified non-coding RNA, 220 nt
Filed under: air metagenome
Description: partial contains small subunit ribosomal RNA, internal transcribed spacer 1, and 5.8S ribosomal RNA
Rfam family: Eukaryotic small subunit ribosomal RNA (bases 1-46)
Source: RNAcentral
AAGUCGUAACAAGGUCUCCGUAGGUGAACCUGCGGAGGGAUCAUUACCGAGAUCUGGGUCCCGUCGGGCCCUCCUCUCCCCACGUCCUGGGGUCCUCCGACGCCCCUCGAGGCUGGGAGCCCCACCCACGAUGUCCGACGUCCACCGAUCAGAGCCCCCCAGCGGGGCGGUGACACCAGACGAGCAGAAAAAACUUUCAACAACGGAUCUCUUGGCUCUG